UACGUAGGGGGCGAGCGUUGUCCGGAAUUACUGGGCGUAAAGGGUACGUAGGCGGCUAGGUAAGUCAGGUGUGAAAUCCAUGGGCUCAACCCAUGUAAGCACUUGAAACUGCUUAGCUUGAGUUAAGGAGAGGAAAGCGGAAUUCCUGGUGUAGCGGUGAAAUGCGUAGAUAUCAGGAGGAACACCAGUGGCGAAGGCGGCUUUCUGGCCUUGGACUGACGCUGAGGUACGAAAGCGUGGGGAGCAAACA
This 250-nucleotide ribosomal RNA is filed under the name uncultured bacterium. RNAcentral's name for it is "partial 16S ribosomal RNA". It matches the Rfam family "Bacterial small subunit ribosomal RNA", at positions 524 to 774 of the family's 1533-position model. The record is from RNAcentral.